GUACUCACUUCUGCAGUACAUACAUAUACAAGAAUUGGAAUGAUACAGAGAUUAGCAUGGCCUCUGUGCAAGGAUGACAUGCAAGUUUGUGAAGCAGCCCAUAUUUAA
Molecule: small nuclear RNA, 108 nt
Organism: Mustela putorius furo (domestic ferret)
Lineage: Eukaryota; Metazoa; Chordata; Mammalia; Carnivora; Mustelidae
Source: Ensembl